GACUCUUCUCUUUAACAUCUACAUGCUUCCACUAGCUUAGUUAAUGGAUAACAAUGAAAUAAGUUACCAUAGCUAUGCAGACGACACACACGUGAUAACAUGAAAAAUGAAAUUGAGAGAAGUGAAAUACAGAUCUAAGAGGAGACAGAGAGAUUCAGGGAGGAGCUAAGAUGUUCCUGAACUAUAGAAGAGAGAGGAACUUCCAUAUUCACCAGAGUUCAACACAGACCAUCAUCAUCACCUUCAUUCAACAUGCUGUCCCUGCAGAACUCAGCUUUUUCUCUGAUAUUGUUUGCAAUCUUAUCAGGCGUCAGCUGUGAAGAUCUGACUCCAGUCAAAACAGAAGAGUUCAGUCCAGAAGGCAGCACUAUUACUCUGUCCUACAAAGCUGGAUCUAAUGCUAAUUAUUACUUCUGGUAUCGACAAUAUCCUGGAAAACCACCAGAGUUCCUCAUCUCACACUCUGUUUCAGGCCAAGUAGGAACUAACCCAAUCCCUGGACUGAAUAUUACAGUGACGAAAAAGCAAAUGGAGUCAAACCGAAUCAAUAUGAUCAUCUCCUCUGCUGCAGUGACAGACUCUGCUGUGUACUACUGUGCUCUGAAGCCCACAGUGACAGGAAACACCAACACUCUGUACAAAAACCUCUGGAGCAAAGACAACACAGUACUGCACAGCAUCCACCAGAGGGAGUCUCUCUCUGUCAGACUUCAGCAGAGUUUAUCAGUCCUCUUUAUACUCGCUGUAGCUCAGAGUUUCUAA
Trematomus bernacchii (emerald rockcod) is the source of this 762-nucleotide non-coding RNA. Lineage: Eukaryota; Metazoa; Chordata; Actinopteri; Perciformes; Nototheniidae. The record is from the annotation of a RefSeq genome assembly.